UAAUCCACCUGAUACACUGGAUAGUGGCAGUUACUUGGAUAACUGCGGUAAUUCUGGAGCUAAUACAUGCGUCGAAGCCCCGAACUUGCGUGAGGGGCGCUUUUAUUAGAUCAAAGCCAAACGGCCCUUUAUGGGCCGUCCCCCUGGUGACUCUGAAUAACUUUGUGCAGAUCGCACGGCCUCGUGCCGGCGACGUAUCUUUCUAAGGUGUGCCCUAUCAACUGUCGACUGUGGCAUAGACGCCCACAGUGGUUUUGACGGGUAACGGGGAAUCAGGGUUCGAUUCCGGAGAGGGAGCCUGAGAAACGGCUACCACUUCUAAGGAAGGCAGCAGGCACGCAAAUUACCCACUGGCCGAAGGCCGAGGUAGUGACGAUAAAUAACGAUACCGGACUCAUCCGAGGCCCGGUAAUCGGAAUGAGUACACUUUAAAUCCUUUAACGAGGAACCAUUGGAGGGCAAGUCUG
Molecule: ribosomal RNA, 467 nt
Filed under: uncultured eukaryote
Lineage: Eukaryota
Description: SSU rRNA
Rfam family: Eukaryotic small subunit ribosomal RNA
Source: RNAcentral